UGAAUUAAGCUGAGCGAAAGAAAGAAAGAGGAAAUUGUUCAUUCUUCUUAUCUUCUCUGGUGUAUUUUGUUUCUAUUCUUUUCCCUUUUAUUCCGUUCGCUUAUAAUGGAAUGUAGUGGAAGCAUGAAGGGAACGGAAUGAAAGGAAAAAGAACGAAA
This 158-nucleotide non-coding RNA is filed under the name Symbiodinium sp. clade D. The record is from RNAcentral. Lineage: Eukaryota; Dinophyceae; Suessiales; Symbiodiniaceae.